UACGUAGGCAGCAAGCGUUGUUCGGAAUUACUGGGCGUAAAGAGUGUGUAGGCGGUGCUCCAAGUCUGGUGUGAAAUCUCCCGGCUUAACUGGGAGGGUGCAUUAGAAACUGGAAUGCUAGAGGAUGGGAGAGGUAAGCGGAAUUCCUGGUGUAGCGGUGAAAUGCGUAGAUAUCGAGAGGAACACCAGUGGCGAAGGCGAGUCCCUGGACACUUCCUGACACUGAGGCACGAAAGCUAGGGGAGCAAACAGG
Molecule: ribosomal RNA, 253 nt
Filed under: uncultured bacterium
Lineage: Bacteria
Description: partial 16S ribosomal RNA
Rfam family: Bacterial small subunit ribosomal RNA
Source: RNAcentral